This 253-nucleotide ribosomal RNA is filed under the name uncultured bacterium. RNAcentral describes it as "partial 16S ribosomal RNA". It matches the Rfam family "Bacterial small subunit ribosomal RNA", at positions 524 to 776 of the family's 1533-position model. The record is from RNAcentral.
UACGUAGGGGGCAAGCGUUGUCCGGAUUUAUUGGGCGUAAAGAGCGUGUAGGCGGCCAGGUAGGUCUGCUGUGAAAACUCGAGGCUUAACCUCGAGCUGUCGGCGGAAACCAUCUGGCUAGAGUCCGGAAGAGGAGAAUGGAAUUCCCGGUGUAGCGGUGAAAUGCGCAGAUAUCAGGAAGAACACCCGUGGCGAAGGCGGUUCUCUGGGACGGUACUGACGCUGAGACGCGAAAGCGUGGGGAGCGAACAGG